UGACCUUCUCCAAAAUGCCUAAUUUAUAAAUAUUUCCAUCUAAGUCCAACUGGCAUGUUCCAAUUAUAACUUGCCUUCAUUUUUUUUUUUUUUUUAUCAUGGCCUUAUAUUCUUUUUUGAGUCUCAAACAUUUUUAAUGUUUUGGGACUUAGUCUUCAACAUGAAUGGGUCUUUGUUUCUAAGCCUCCAUCUUUAAGCUUUAGGACUUGGGCCGUAGGUCUUGAAUUUUCUUGGUGGGUCUGGCCCGUAAUUGCUAGCCCAACUUGACAGGAAAAUUCUUAAACCUUGGAUUUUAAUGGGUUGGAAAUUCAUGUUAGAAAUUGUUGAGGUCCAAGUCUUCAUAGGAGAGUGUUAGGCUAAAAUAUUACUCAAUGGGCUUGUUAUGAUGGCUUUCUCUACCAUUUUGGUUUGAACUCCAUCUUAAUUAUAAACUCUUCUUUUUCCAAGUCAUUUUACAAUGUGGGAUUUGUUUCCACUUCUCCAAUAAUUAGGUAUGCUCAUAUUAUCUUUUGUUUGAUAUUUUGAAUAGAGACAUACACU
RNAcentral lists this long non-coding RNA (540 nucleotides) under Manihot esculenta (cassava). RNAcentral describes it as "long non-coding RNA (MESC_LNC007683)". Lineage: Eukaryota; Viridiplantae; Streptophyta; Magnoliopsida; Malpighiales; Euphorbiaceae. The record is from RNAcentral.